AGGAUUCCCCUAGUAACUGCGAGUGAAGCGGGAAAAGCUCAAAUUUAAAAUCUGGCGGUCUUUGGCCGUCCGAGUUGUAAUCUAGAGAAGUAAUGCCCGUGCUGGACCGUGUAUAAGUCUCCUGGGAUGGGGCGUCAUAGAGGGUGAGAAUCCCGUCUUUGACACGGACUACCAGUGCAUUGUGGUAUGCUCUCAAAGAGUCGAGUUGUUUGGGAAUGCAGCUCAAAAUGGGUGGUAAAUUCCAUCUAAAGCUAAAUAUUGGCGAGAGACCGAUAGCGAACAAGUACCGUGAGGGAAAGAUGAAAAGAACUUUGGAAAGAGAGUUAAACAGUACGUGAAAUUGCUGAAAGGGAAACGCUUGAAGUCAGUCGCGUUGGCYGGGAAUCAGCCCUGCUUUUGCAUGGUGUACUUUCUGGUYGACGGGUCAGCAUCAAUUUUGAUCACUGGAAAAGGCUCAAGGGAAUGUGGCAGCUUCGGCUGUGUUAUAGCCCCUGUUCACAUACAGUGGUUGGGAUUGAGGAACUCAGCACGCCGCAAGGCCGGGUUUCGACCACGUUCGUGCUUAGGAUGCUGGCAUAAUGGCUUUAAGCGACCCGUCUUGAAACACGGACCAAGGAGUCUAACAUGCCUGCGAGUAUUUGGGUGGAAAACCCAGGUGCGCAAUGAAAGUGAAAGUUGAGAUCCCUGUCGUGGGGAGCAUCGACGCCCGGACCAGAACUUUUGRGACGGAUCCGCGGUGGAGCAUGUAUGUUGGGACCCGAAAGAUGGUGAACUAUGCCUGAAUAGGGUGAAGCCAGAGGAAACUCUGGUGGAGGCUCGUAGCGAUUCUGACGUGCAAAUCGAUCGUCAAAUUUGGGUAUAGGGGCGAAA
This 870-nucleotide ribosomal RNA is filed under the name Agaricus parasubrutilescens. Its description in RNAcentral is "eukaryotic LSU rRNA". It matches the Rfam family "Eukaryotic large subunit ribosomal RNA", at positions 71 to 928 of the family's 3401-position model. Lineage: Eukaryota; Fungi; Basidiomycota; Agaricomycetes; Agaricales; Agaricaceae. The record is from RNAcentral.